This 361-nucleotide ribosomal RNA is filed under the name Enterobacter bugandensis. Its description in RNAcentral is "partial 23S ribosomal RNA". It matches the Rfam family "Bacterial large subunit ribosomal RNA", at positions 167 to 566 of the family's 2925-position model. Lineage: Bacteria; Pseudomonadati; Pseudomonadota; Gammaproteobacteria; Enterobacterales; Enterobacteriaceae. The record is from RNAcentral.
UAGGUUAACGAGGCGAACCGGGGGAACUGAAACAUCUAAGUACCCCGAGGAAAAGAAAUCAACCGAGAUUCCCCCAGUAGCGGCGAGCGAACGGGGAGCAGCCCGGAGUCUGAAUCAGCUUGUGUGUUAGUGGAAGCGUCUGGAAAGUCGCACGGUACAGGGUGACAGUCCCGUACACGAAAAUGCACAGGUUGUGAACUCGAAGAGUAGGGCGGGACACGUGGUAUCCUGUCUGAAUAUGGGGGGACCAUCCUCCAAGGCUAAAUACUCCUGACUGACCGAUAGUGAACCAGUACCGUGAGGGAAAGGCGAAAAGAACCCCGGCGAGGGGAGUGAAAAAGAACCUGAAACCGUGUACGUA